This 204-nucleotide unclassified non-coding RNA is filed under the name soil metagenome. Its description in RNAcentral is "partial contains 5.8S ribosomal RNA, internal transcribed spacer 2, and large subunit ribosomal RNA". The record is from RNAcentral.
AACCUUAUGGACCUGCGGGCGUAUACCUGCGGAAGGAUCAUUACCUAGAGUUGUAGGCUUUGCCUGCUAUCUCUUACCCAUGUCUUUUGAGUACCUUACGUUUCCUCGGUGGGUUCGCCCGCCGGUUGGACAAAACUUAAACCCUUUGUAGUUGCAAUCAGCGUCUGAAAAAACUUAAUAGUUACAACUUUUAGCAACGGAUCU